UACAGAGACUGCAAGCGUUGUUCGGAUUCAUUGGGCGUAAAGGGUGCGUAGGCGGCUCGUUAAGUCGGAUGUGAAAUCUCACAGCUUAACUCUGAUACUUCAUUCGAAACUAGCGGGCUUGAGGACUGGAGAGGAGACUGGAAUAGUCGGUGUAGCGGUGAAAUGCGUAGAGAUCGACUAGAACACCGGUGGCGAAGGCGAGUCUCUGGACAGUUCCUGACGCUCAGGCACGAAAGCCAGGGGAGCAAACGGG
This 253-nucleotide ribosomal RNA is filed under the name uncultured bacterium. RNAcentral's name for it is "partial 16S ribosomal RNA". It matches the Rfam family "Bacterial small subunit ribosomal RNA", at positions 524 to 776 of the family's 1533-position model. The record is from RNAcentral.